GACGAACGCUGGCGGCGUGCUUAACACAUGCAAGUCGAACGGUAAGGCCCUGCUUUUGUUGGGUGCUCGAGUGGCGAACGGGUGAGUAACACGUGAGUAACCUGCCCUUGACUUUGGGAUAACUUCAGGAAACUGGGGCUAAUACCGGAUAGGAGCUCCUGCUGCAUGGUGGGGGUUGGAAAGGUUCGGCGGUUGGGGAUGGACUCGCGGCUUAGCAGCUUGUUGGUGGGGUAGUGGCUUACCAAGGCUUUGACGGGUAGCCGGCCUGAGAGGGUGACCGGCCACAUUGGGACUGAGAUACGGCCCAGACUCCUACGGGAGGCAGCAGUGGGGAAUAUUGCACAAUGGGCGGAAGCCUGAUGCAGCAACGCCGCGUGCGGGAUGACGGCCUUCGGGUUGUAACCCGCUUUCGCCUGUGACGAAGCGUGAGUGACGGUAAUGGGUAAAGAAGCACCGGCUAACUACGUG
RNAcentral lists this ribosomal RNA (468 nucleotides) under uncultured bacterium. RNAcentral's name for it is "partial 16S ribosomal RNA". It matches the Rfam family "Bacterial small subunit ribosomal RNA", at positions 28 to 507 of the family's 1533-position model. The record is from RNAcentral.